Molecule: ribosomal RNA, 361 nt
Filed under: uncultured bacterium
Lineage: Bacteria
Description: partial 16S ribosomal RNA
Rfam family: Bacterial small subunit ribosomal RNA
Source: RNAcentral
CCUACGGGAGGCAGCAGUGAGGAAUAUUGGACAAUGGGCGCGAGCCUGAACCAGCCAAGUAGCGUGAAGGAUGACUGCCCUACGGGUUGUAAACUUCUUUUAUAAAGGAAUAAAGAGAGGCACGAGUGCCUUUUUGUAUGUACUUUAUGAAUAAGGAACGGCUACCUCAGUGCCAGCAGCCGCGGUAAUACGGAGGAUCCGAGCGUUAUCUGGAUUUAUUGGGUUUAAAGGGAGCGUAGAUGGGUUGUUAAGUCAGUUGUGAAAGUUUGGGGCUCAACCGUAAAAUUGCAAUUGAUACUGGCAGCCUUGAGUACAGUUGAGGUAGGCGGAAUUCGUGGUGUAGCGGUGAAAUGCUUAGAUA